CCUACGGGUGGUAGCAGUGGGGAAUAUUGGGCAAUGGGGGCAACCCUGAUCCAGCGACGCCGCGUGAGUGAAGAAGGUUUUCGGUAUGUAAAGCUCUAUUAGCAGGGAAGAAGAAAGACCGUUACUGAAUAAGAAGCCCCGGCUAACUACGUGGCAGCAGCCGCGGUAAUACGUAGGGGGCAAGCGUUAUCCGGAUUUACGGGGUUUAAGGGGAGCGUAGACGGCUGUGAAAGUCUUAAGGGAAAGCCCAGGGCUCAACCCUGGGACUGCUUUUGAAACUGUGGGGCUAGAGUGCUGGAGAGGAAAGUGGAAUUCCUAGUGUAGCGGUGAAAUGCGUAGAUAUUAGGAGGAACACCAGUGGCGAAGGCGGCUUACUGGACAGUAACUGACAUUGAGGCUCGAAAGCGUGGGGAGCAAACAGGAUUAGAUACCCUUGUAGUC
RNAcentral lists this ribosomal RNA (441 nucleotides) under uncultured bacterium. RNAcentral's name for it is "partial 16S ribosomal RNA". It matches the Rfam family "Bacterial small subunit ribosomal RNA", at positions 338 to 795 of the family's 1533-position model. The record is from RNAcentral.